CUGGACAGUGCAAUGAUUAUAAAACAUUCCUCGUACUGAUGGGAGAUCCAUGUGAACGACUCCUAUACACCCAUAGAAUCUGAGCACC
This 88-nucleotide small nucleolar RNA is filed under the name Triticum dicoccoides. Its description in RNAcentral is "snoRNA snoR8a". It matches the Rfam family "Small nucleolar RNA snoR8a". Lineage: Eukaryota; Viridiplantae; Streptophyta; Magnoliopsida; Poales; Poaceae. The record is from RNAcentral.